GAUGAACGCUGGCGGCGUGCCUAAUACAUGCAAGUCGAGCGAACGGACGAGAAGCUUGCUUCUCUGAUGUUAGCGGCGGACGGGUGAGUAACACGUGGAUAACCUUCCUAUAAGACUGGGAUAACUUCGGGAAACCGUAGCUAAUACCGGAUAAUAUUUUGAACCGCAUGGUUCAAAAGUGAAAGACGGUUUUGCUGUCACUUAUAGAUGGAUCCGCGCUGCAUUAGCUAGUUGGUAAGGUAACGGCUUACCAAGGCAACGAUGCAUAGCCGACCUGAGAGGGUGAUCAGCCACACUGGAACUGAGACACGGUCCAGACUCCUACGGGAGGCAGCAGUAGGGAAUCUUCCGCAAUGGGCGAAAGCCUGACGGAGCAACGCCGCGUGAGUGAUGAAGGUCUUCGGAUCGUAAAACUCUGUUAUUGGGGAAGAACAUAUGUAUAAGUAACUGUGCACAUCUUGACGGUACCUAAUCAGAAAGCCACGGCUAACUACGUG
This 497-nucleotide ribosomal RNA is filed under the name uncultured bacterium. RNAcentral's name for it is "partial 16S ribosomal RNA". It matches the Rfam family "Bacterial small subunit ribosomal RNA", at positions 28 to 507 of the family's 1533-position model. The record is from RNAcentral.